GGUCUCACCGUGUAGUUCAGGCUGGCCUUGAGCUCACUUUGUAGCCCAGGCUGGUCUCGAACUUGCAAUGAUCCUCCUGCCUCAGCCUCCCGAGUGCUGGGAUUACAGGCAUGCGCCACCACGCCAG
This 127-nucleotide microRNA precursor is filed under the name Chinchilla lanigera (long-tailed chinchilla). Its description in RNAcentral is "miRNA (ENSCLAG00000021312.1)". Lineage: Eukaryota; Metazoa; Chordata; Mammalia; Rodentia; Chinchillidae. The record is from RNAcentral.